GGAGAGGUGGCCGAGUGGCUGAAGGCGCACGCCUGCUAAGCGUGUUUGGGGAAACUCAACGAGGGUUCGAAUCCCUCCCUCUCCGCCA
RNAcentral lists this transfer RNA (88 nucleotides) under bacterium CG_4_9_14_3_um_filter_65_15. Its description in RNAcentral is "tRNA-Ser". It matches the Rfam family "tRNA". Rfam says of the family: Transfer RNA (tRNA) molecules are approximately 80 nucleotides in length. Their secondary structure includes four short double-helical elements and three loops (D, anti-codon, and T loops). The record is from RNAcentral. RNAcentral also lists the same sequence under 2 other names.